CUGACAGUCAUUUAGCAAUUUAGUGUUGGCUAAGAAUUUUGGCUCUGGAAUCAGACUAUGACAUCAAAUUCUAAUUCUCUCUCUUAAUAGCUUCAUGCCCUUGGGAAAAUUAUGUAAGCUCUCUGUGACAAGUUUCCUUUACUUAUAAAAUGGCAAUGAUAGUCACCCUCAUAGGAUUGUUGUGAUGAUUAAAUGAAAACACAGUGUGGAGUUCUUGAUGAAUAUUUACCUCUCGAUAAUUUAAACUGCUGUUAUUUUCCAUUAUCUCAUUGGAUCUUGACAGUAACUGUGAGAUAGACAUGGUUCCAAUAUCUUCCCCAUGAGUAUCCUCUGGCCACACUGAAGUGGUUCCCGAACAUAUCAUAUACAUUUGCCCUAGGACUUCAUCAUGCCUGGUGUACUCUCCAUCCUUCCUCUCUGUUGUGAACUUCCUUCUGCUUUUGAAGCCUAACCAACCAGCAAGAUCUCAAGG
This 472-nucleotide long non-coding RNA is filed under the name Equus asinus (donkey). RNAcentral describes it as "lncRNA (ENSEASG00005027244.1)". Lineage: Eukaryota; Metazoa; Chordata; Mammalia; Perissodactyla; Equidae. The record is from RNAcentral.